RNAcentral lists this transfer RNA (64 nucleotides) under Anthaxia sp. ANT01. RNAcentral's name for it is "tRNA-Asp". Lineage: Eukaryota; Metazoa; Arthropoda; Insecta; Coleoptera; Buprestidae. The record is from RNAcentral.
AAAAAUUUAGUUAAAAAAUAACGUUAGCUUGUCAUGCUAAAAUUAUCACGAAAGAUAAUUUUUA